Molecule: ribosomal RNA, 497 nt
Filed under: uncultured bacterium
Lineage: Bacteria
Description: partial 16S ribosomal RNA
Rfam family: Bacterial small subunit ribosomal RNA
Source: RNAcentral
GUUGAACGCUGGCGGCGUGCCUAAUACAUGCAAGUCGAGCGAACAGAUGAGGCGUUUGCUUCUCUGACGCUAGCGGCGGACGGGUGAGUAAUACGAGGCUAACUUAUCUAUAAGACUGGGAUAACUUCAGGAAACCUGAGCUAAUAUCCGUCCAUAUAUUGAACCGCAUGGUUCUAUAGAGAAAGACCUUUCUGCUGUCCCUUAUAGAGGUAUCCUCGUUGCAUUAGUAAGUUGGUAGGGUAAAGGCUUACCAAGGCAACGAUGCGUAGCCGAUCUGAGAGGGUGAUCAGCCACACUGGAACUGAGACACGGUCCAGACUCCUACGGGAGGCAGCAGUGGGGAAUAUUCGACAAUGGGCGAAAGCCUGAUCGAGCCAUGCCGCGUGAGUGAAGAAGGUCUUCGGAUUGUAAAGCUCUGUAAUUAGGGAGGAACAGAAGUAUAGUAAAACCUUCACGUUUUGACGGUACCAAAACAGUAAGCCACGGCUAACUUCGUG